Molecule: ribosomal RNA, 500 nt
Filed under: uncultured Rhodospirillales bacterium
Lineage: Bacteria; Pseudomonadati; Pseudomonadota; Alphaproteobacteria; Rhodospirillales
Description: bacterial SSU rRNA
Rfam family: Bacterial small subunit ribosomal RNA
Source: RNAcentral
CGCCCGCUCAGAAACUCAAAGGAUUGACGGGGGCCCGCACAAGCGGUGGAGCAUGUGGUUUAAUUCGACGCAACGCGAAGAACCUUACCAGCCCUUGACAUGGGAAGUAUGGGCCGCAGAGACGCGGUCCUUUCAGUUCGGCUGGCUUCCACACAGGUGCUGCAUGGCUGUCGUCAGCUCGUGUCGUGAGAUGUUGGGUUAAGUCCCGCAACGAGCGCAACCCUCGUCUCCAGUUGCCAUCGGGUAAAGCCGGGCACUUUGGAGAAACUGCCGGUGACAAGCCGGAGGAAGGUGGGGAUGACGUCAAGUCCUCAUGGCCCUUACGGGCUGGGCUACACACGUGCUACAAUGGCGGUGACAGUGGGCAGCAACUCAGCAAUGGGGAGCUAAUCUCAAAAAGCCGUCUCAGUUCGGAUUGGGGUCUGCAACUCGACCCCAUGAAGUCGGAAUCGCUAGUAAUCGCGGAUCAGCACGCCGCGGUGAAUACGUUCCCGGGCCUU